This 460-nucleotide ribosomal RNA is filed under the name uncultured bacterium. RNAcentral's name for it is "partial 16S ribosomal RNA". It matches the Rfam family "Bacterial small subunit ribosomal RNA", at positions 338 to 795 of the family's 1533-position model. The record is from RNAcentral.
CCUACGGGUGGCAGCAGUGAGGAAUAUUGGUCAAUGGACGAGAGUCUGAACCAGCCAAGUAGCGUGAAGGAUGACUGCCCUAUGGGUUGUAAACUUCUUUUAUAUGGGAAUAAAACGAGCCACGUGUGGCUUUUUGUAUGUACCUUAUGAAUAAGGAUCGGCUAACUCCGUGCCAGCAGCCGCGGUAAUACGGAGGAUCCGAGCGUUAUCCGGAUUUAUUGGGUUUAAAGGGAGCGUAGGUGGAUUGUUAAGUCAGUUGUGAAAGUUUGCGGCUCAACCGUAAAAUUGCAAUUGAUACUGGCAGUCUUGAGUACAGUUGAGGUAGGCGGAAUUCGUGGUGUAGCGGUGAAAUGCUUAGAUAUCACGAAGAACUCCGAUUGCGAAGGCAGCUUACUAAACUGUGACUGACAUUGAGGCUCGAAAGUGUGGGUAUCAAACAGGAUUAGAUACCCGAGUAGUC